UACGAAGGGGGCUAGCGUUGCUCGGAAUCACUGGGCGUAAAGGGUGCGUAGGCGGGUCUUUAAGUCAGGGGUGAAAUCCUGGAGCUCAACUCCAGAACUGCCUUUGAUACUGCGGGUCUCGAGUCCGGAAGAGGUGAGUGGAAUUCCUAGUGUAGAGGUGAAAUUCGUAGAUAUUAGGAAGAACACCAGUGGCGAAGGCGGCUCACUGGCCCGGUACUGACGCUGAGGCGCGAAAGCGUGGGGAGCAAACAGG
RNAcentral lists this ribosomal RNA (253 nucleotides) under uncultured bacterium. RNAcentral's name for it is "partial 16S ribosomal RNA". It matches the Rfam family "Bacterial small subunit ribosomal RNA", at positions 524 to 776 of the family's 1533-position model. The record is from RNAcentral.